Molecule: ribosomal RNA, 478 nt
Filed under: uncultured bacterium
Lineage: Bacteria
Description: partial 16S ribosomal RNA
Rfam family: Bacterial small subunit ribosomal RNA
Source: RNAcentral
GAUGAACGCUGGCGGCGUGCUUAACACAUGCAAGUCGAACGGGAAACCUUUUAUUGAAGCUUCGGCAGAUUUAGCUGGUUUCUAGUGGCGGACGGGUGAGUAACACGUAGUUAACCUGCCUUAUACAGGGGGAUAACAACCAGAAAUGGUUGCUAAUACCGCAUAAGCGCACGGGACCGCAUGUUCCGGUGUGCACAACUCGGGUGGUAUAAGAGGGACCCGCGUUGGAGCAGCUAGUUGGCAGGGUAACGGCCUACCAAGGCGACGAUCCAUAGCCGGCCUGAGAGGGUGAGCGGACACAUUGGGACUGAGACACGGCCCGGACUCCUACGGGAGGCAGGAGAGGGGAAUAUUGCACAAUGGGGGAAACCCUGAUGCAGCGACGCCGCGUGAAGGAAGAAGUAGCUCGGGAUGUAAACUUCUAUCAGCAGGGAAGAUAGUGACGGUACCUGACGAAGAAGCCCCGGCUAACUACGUG